RNAcentral lists this ribosomal RNA (253 nucleotides) under uncultured bacterium. Its description in RNAcentral is "partial 16S ribosomal RNA". It matches the Rfam family "Bacterial small subunit ribosomal RNA", at positions 524 to 776 of the family's 1533-position model. The record is from RNAcentral.
UACGUAGGGGGCAAGCGUUGUCCGGAUUUAUUGGGCGUAAAGAGCGUGUAGGCGGUUAGGUAGGUCCGUUGUGAAAACUCGAGGCUCAACCUCGAGACGCCGAUGGAAACCAUCUGACUAGAGUCCGGAAGAGGAGAGUGGAAUUCCCGGUGUAGCGGUGAAAUGCGCAGAUAUCGGGAAGAACACCCGUGGCGAAGGCGGCUCUCUGGAACGCAACUGACGCUGAGACGCGAAAGCGUGGGGAGCAAACAGG